This 200-nucleotide long non-coding RNA is filed under the name Elaeis guineensis (African oil palm). Its description in RNAcentral is "long non-coding RNA (EGUI_LNC038604)". Lineage: Eukaryota; Viridiplantae; Streptophyta; Magnoliopsida; Arecales; Arecaceae. The record is from RNAcentral.
ACUUACCUGACCAAUUUGGUCGAUUAUAAAUUGAGUAAGGUUGCUUGGUCAUUCAUAUUCACCCAUGUCGACUAGAUUAGUCAGACAUGAGAUUGUGCUGACCAGAACCUGAUCAGUCAGACAUCAAAUAUGCUGAUUUAGAAGAGAUCUGAAUUUAAAUCUUCUCAUUAAAUAUUAAGUCUAGCGGUCUUCCAUCAUUG